This 494-nucleotide ribosomal RNA is filed under the name uncultured bacterium. RNAcentral describes it as "partial 16S ribosomal RNA". It matches the Rfam family "Bacterial small subunit ribosomal RNA", at positions 29 to 507 of the family's 1533-position model. The record is from RNAcentral.
ACGAACGCUGGCGGCGUGCCUAAUACAUGCAAGUAGCACGCUGAAGGAGGAGCUUGCUUCUCUGGAUGAGUUGCGAACGGGUGAGUAACGCGUAGGUAACCUGCCUGGUAGCGGGGGAUAACUAUUGGAAACGAUAGCUAAUACCGCAUAAUAGUAGAUGUUGCAUGACAUUUGCUUAAAAGGUGCAAUUGCAUCACUACCAGAUGGACCUGCGUUGUAUUAGCUAGUUGGUGGGGUAACGGCUCACCAAGGCGACGAUACAUAGCCGACCUGAGAGGGUGAUCGGCCACACUGGGACUGAGACACGGCCCAGACUCCUACGGGAGGCAGCAGUAGGGAAUCUUCGGCAAUGGACGGAAGUCUGACCGAGCAACGCCGCGUGAGUGAAGAAGGUUUUCGGAUCGUAAAGCUCUGUUGUAAGAGAAGAACGAGUGUGAGAGUGGAAAGUUCACACUGUGACGGUAUCUUACCAGAAAGGGACGGCUAACUACGUG